GGGGAAUUUUGGACAAUGGGCGAAAGCCUGAUCCAGCCAUUCCGCGUGCAGGAUGAAGGCCCUCGGGUUGUAAACUGCUUUUGUACGGAACGAAAAGGCUCCGGUUAAUACCUGGGGCUCAUGACGGUACCGUAAGAAUAAGCACCGGCUAACUACGUGCCAGCAGCCGCGGUAAUACGUAGGGUGCAAGCGUUAAUCGGAAUUACUGGGCGUAAAGCGUGCGCAGGCGGUGAUGUAAGACAGUUGUGAAAUCCCCGGGCUCAACCUGGGAACUGCAUCUGUGACUGCAUCGCUGGAGUGCGGCAGAGGGGGAUGGAAUUCCGCGUGUAGCAGUGAAAUGCGUAGAUAUGCGGAGGAACACCGAUGGCGAAGGCAAUCCCCUGGGCCUGCACUGACGCUCAUGCACGAAAGCGUGGGGAGCAAAC
This 425-nucleotide ribosomal RNA is filed under the name uncultured bacterium. RNAcentral's name for it is "bacterial SSU rRNA". It matches the Rfam family "Bacterial small subunit ribosomal RNA", at positions 356 to 773 of the family's 1533-position model. The record is from RNAcentral.